UCUGACGGGUUUAUACGGCACUUGGCAAAAAUUCUAUACUUUUCCAGACGAGAAAGAAAGAAAAAGCGCCUCUCUGCCUCCUUGCCUCUGCAAGCACCGUCUCAUUCCGAAGGAGGCAGGCACGGAGGGACGUGGCUGGGUUCCGAGCUGUCACUUUGCGAGCUCAUUCCUGGGGUUCCAGUAGCAUCCAGAAGAUGUGAACAAGCCAGCUUUCCCCAUUAGGUGGUUCUGUGAGCACAGGAUCAGUGGGAAAAGGAAUUUCCUCUGGAUAUUUGGGCAGAAGACUGAAGACCUAAGUCAGAUGUCUAUGAGUUUUUCCAAUUUUUUCCACAACUUGGAGUGGGAUUAGUCUCCCCCUCUCCUCUGCCCAGAUUUCUCUUUGCAUUGCACCUUGCAAACAGAGAAGGUAAAAUUCUUGCUGCUUAAAGGACUGUCAGUUAAAGGAAAAAUAUUUCCUUUCAGAGGGGAGAAGCCAGGAGAAAUUUUUUUUUUUUAAAUUCACAUCUUCAUACAGACAAG
Long non-coding RNA from Corvus hawaiiensis (hawaiian crow), 519 nucleotides. RefSeq lists it as uncharacterized. The record is from RefSeq and is a predicted model, not a curated record. The transcript is spliced from 3 exons. NCBI's taxonomy places the organism in Eukaryota, Metazoa, Chordata, Aves, Passeriformes, Corvidae.